UAAAUUAAGUUCACAUUUCAUUUACCAAAUUACCCCUUCCCUUCCUCUGUCUUCUUGGCUAUGUCCACUUCUUCCUCUUCACAUUUCUUUACACAUCGAUCAACACCCUUCACAUCCCCUUUCAUUUUCAUAGAUCAUAGCUCCGAUACCUUCCAUCUUCAACCGUAAGUAUCUCCGGUGAUCAUAUCACCAUCUUCUACUUCCCUUAUGUAAUCCAUGAAAGAAUGCUAUUAAACCAUGGUAGUGAAGACAAGCCGAGGAUGGGGAUUACAGGAAACACUGCAGGGUACGUUUUUCAGAGGUAGUGACAGUGGAGGUGGCUGAGUGAAUGAAGCUCGGUGGUUCACAGUCUUUGAGCCAUCUUUGAAUGGUUGAAGUGAAGGCAGAAGCAAAAGAGAGAGUUUUUUUUACCCUCCACGGUUAAAAAGGUGACUAAGUGAGAGCUGGUGCAUCUGAUGAAGCAGGCUAGAGAGGGGAGAAAAGAGCCAUUUUUAAAUUUUCAACAAAGACUUGAAAGGGACAUUUUCAUUAAAAAAAACAAGCUUUCUAUAAUAACACCAAGUGUGUGGUCCA
This is a non-coding RNA of Lactuca sativa (garden lettuce), 573 nucleotides long. The record is from RefSeq and is a predicted model, not a curated record. Lineage: Eukaryota; Viridiplantae; Streptophyta; Magnoliopsida; Asterales; Asteraceae.